GGAGUUUGGACCGUGUCUCAGUUCCAAUGUGGCCGAUCACCCUCUCAGGUCGGCUACUGAUCGUCGCCUUGGUGAGCCGUUACCUCACCAACUAGCUAAUCAGACGCGAGCCCCUCUUACAUCGAUAAAUCUUUCCAAACCGUACGAUGCCGUACUUGUCUGGCAUAUGCGGUAUUACCGUCCGUUUCCAAACGUUAUUCCCCAAUGUAAGGCAGGUUGCUCACGCGUUACUCACCCGUCCGCCACUCGAUUGGCAAAAAGCAAGCUUUUCGCUUCUCUCGUUCGACUUGCAUGUGUUAGGCACGCCGCCAGCGUUCAUCCUGAGCCAUGAUCAAAACUCU
This 341-nucleotide ribosomal RNA is filed under the name uncultured Lachnospiraceae bacterium. RNAcentral describes it as "partial 16S ribosomal RNA". Lineage: Bacteria; Bacillati; Bacillota; Clostridia; Lachnospirales; Lachnospiraceae. The record is from RNAcentral.